This 253-nucleotide ribosomal RNA is filed under the name uncultured bacterium. Its description in RNAcentral is "partial 16S ribosomal RNA". It matches the Rfam family "Bacterial small subunit ribosomal RNA", at positions 524 to 776 of the family's 1533-position model. The record is from RNAcentral.
UACGGAGGGUGCAAGCGUUAUCCGGAUUCACUGGGUUUAAAGGGUGCGUAGGUGGGCUAGUAAGUCAGUGGUGAAAUCUCCGGGCUUAACCCGGAAACUGCCAUUGAUACUAUUAGUCUUGAAUGUCGUGGAGGUAAGCGGAAUAUGUCAUGUAGCGGUGAAAUGCGUAGAGAUCGAGAGGAACACCAGUGGCGAAGGCGAGUUCCUGGACAAGUCCUGACACUGAGGCACGAAAGCCGGGGGAGCAAACAGG